GUCUCCCCAGAGGUACAGAUUAAAGCUCUGGGUUCUGAUGCACAGAAGAUUAGCAUGGCCCCUGCGCAAGGAUGACACAUAAAUUUGUGAAGCAUUCCACAUUGUU
Molecule: small nuclear RNA, 106 nt
Organism: Sciurus carolinensis (gray squirrel)
Lineage: Eukaryota; Metazoa; Chordata; Mammalia; Rodentia; Sciuridae
Source: RefSeq, a predicted model, not a curated record